This 801-nucleotide ribosomal RNA is filed under the name Chaunoplectella sp. NIWA 126325. RNAcentral's name for it is "partial 28S ribosomal RNA". It matches the Rfam family "Eukaryotic large subunit ribosomal RNA", at positions 819 to 1577 of the family's 3401-position model. The record is from RNAcentral. Lineage: Eukaryota; Metazoa; Porifera; Hexactinellida; Lyssacinosida; Leucopsacidae.
AAAGAUGGUGAACUAUGCCUGAAUAGGGUGAAGCCAGAGGAGACUCUGGUGGAAGCUCGUAGCGGUUCUGACGUGCAAAUCGAUCGUCAAAUUUGGGUAUAGGGGCGAAAGACUAAUCGAACCAUCUAGUAGCUGGUUCCCUCCGAAGUUUCCCUCAGGAUAGCUGGAGCCCGGAUUAUGUGUGUAGUUUUAUCAGGUAAAGCGAAUGAUUAGAGGUAUUGGGGUUGAAACGACCUCAACCUAUUCUCAAACUUUAAAUGGGUAAGAGGCACAGCUUACUUAAGUGAAGGUGUGCGUUUUGAAAAAAUAUAUGUGAAUACAGGGGCUCUUAGUGGGCCAUUUUUGGUAAGCAGAACUGGCGAUGCGGGAUGAACCGAACGCUGGGUUAAGGUGCCCAAGUCAACGCUCAUGAGAUCCCAGGAAAGGUGUUAGUUGAUACAGACAGCAGGACGGUGGCCAUGGAAGUCGGAAUCCGCUAAGGAGUGUGUAACAACUCACCUGCCGAAUCAACUAGCCCUGAAAAUGGAUGGCGCUCAAGCGUUGCACCUAUCCCCGGCCGCCGUGUGGAGUAGGCCAGUGUUGGUGACACGGCGUGUAGGAGGGCGCGGGGCUGUGUGUGUGUAUGCUGUGCAGGCUGGUGCGUGAGCCCAGCUGAAGCCGGCCCUGGUGCAGAUCUUGGUGGUAGUAGCAAUUAUUCAAAUGAGAACUUUGAAGGCCGAAGUGGAGAAGGGUUCCACGUGAACAGCAUUUGGACGUGGGUGAGUCGGUCCUAAAAAUGGGCGAAAGCCUGGUUAGUAGGGU